RNAcentral lists this ribosomal RNA (253 nucleotides) under uncultured bacterium. RNAcentral's name for it is "partial 16S ribosomal RNA". It matches the Rfam family "Bacterial small subunit ribosomal RNA", at positions 524 to 776 of the family's 1533-position model. The record is from RNAcentral.
UACGGAGGGUGCAAGCGUUAUCCGGAUUUACUGGGUUUAAAGGGGGCGUAGGUGGAUUGGUGAGUCAGUGGUGAAAUACUUUCGCUUAACGAAGGAACUGCCAUUGAUACUACCAGUCUUGAAUACAGUGGAGGUGGGCGGAAUGCGUCAUGUAGCGGUGAAAUGCUUAGAUAUGACGCAGAACACCAAUUGCGAAGGCAGCUUGCUACACUGUUAUUGACACUGAGGCACGAGAGCGUGGGGAUCAAACAGG